RNAcentral lists this ribosomal RNA (253 nucleotides) under uncultured bacterium. RNAcentral describes it as "partial 16S ribosomal RNA". It matches the Rfam family "Bacterial small subunit ribosomal RNA", at positions 524 to 776 of the family's 1533-position model. The record is from RNAcentral.
UACGUAGGGAGCAAGCGUUGUCCGGAAUCAUUGGGCGUAAAGCGCGCGUAGGCGGCCUCAUAAGUCCGUUGUGAAAGUCAAAGGCUCAACCUUUGAAAGCCGAUGGAUACUGUGAGGCUAGAGUCCGGAAGAGGCGAGUGGAAUUCCUGGUGUAGCGGUGGAAUGCGCAGAUAUCAGGAGGAACACCAAUAGCGAGGGCAGCUCGCUGGGACGGUACUGACGCUAAGGCGCGAAAGCGUGGGGAGCGAACAGG